CUUUAAAUAGGUUUAAAAAAAAAAAGUUCCCUCCCCCAAAACAGGGUUUAAAAAAAAAAAAUCCCCACUCCAUUAUUAUUUUUUACAGUUUUCAAUUUUUAAAAAAAUUUAAAGGGUUUUUGGGAAGUCUGAGCACUGUGUUGCGAGCAAAGCCUGCAGCAGGGUGGCAGGCAGAGGUGGUAGAGGUCACCAAGCUGGUGCAGGGGGCUGCGGUGGGCAGAGAAGAUGCUAUCCUGGGGUCCCACAGGUCCCCAUCAACGAAUUCUUUGGCCAGGUGAGAAGGUGGCGCAAAGGCUCUCCUAUCUGGAGGAGCCUGCUGCUGCUGAACCAGUUCCUGGACCAGUGGCAGUUCCAUCAGGUAGUGGUGCUCCACCGGGGCUGGUGCCCAGUGCAGAGCUUGGAGGUGUAGGCGGCUGUCCUGCCAGAGAAGCUCCUUCUGUGGCGAGGGUGGGGGGGCAGGGAGUUGGCAGUGCAGCCAGAUUUUCCCUCUCUCUUAUGGCCUUUCCAACACUCCUCUUGCCAGUCAGUGGGGGCCUCUCUGAUGAUAUCCAGGUCGUGGCAGCAUCCAGUGCUGGGGCCUCCCAGUCUGGCUCCGAGGAGGAAGAGUCUGCUGAUGAGGUGGAGGGGGCGGCCCCUCUGCCAGUGAAGCCGGGCCCUUCUUCUUCCAUGGAGGGUGGAAGGGGGGUGGGUGACAGCAGUGGGCGAGCACCAGCAGCCCCCCUAGCUCCGUGGUCACCCAAGAGGCCCAAGGUAUCUCCCAGGGCAUCUAAGGCCACCUAGAGCAGUGAUGUUUAGCAGCAUUUUGAGGUCCUUCAAGAUGCCCCAACUGCUCCUUGCUGUGUCCACUACAGGGCACAGGUCAGUCGGGGCAAGGAUGCAAAGUAUCUAGGGAUGACCUCCAUGUGACGACACAUGCAACGGUGUCACCUGGAUCUCCUUGACUCCACUGGUGGCGCUAGUGUGCCUCGUGUGGCUGCGACUAGCGCUGACAAGGGCGGUGCACCAGCUUCCAUAAAGCAGAGCAUGCUGCCAGCCACCCUCUGAUCAGGGUGGUGUUCUGUAGGAGGGGACUCCCAUUAUUUCCCCACUGUCACGGACGUACCACCACCUGGUUAAGGUUGGACUCACAGUCACACUCCACCUUCGCAGGGGAAAGGGGCAGCGGCCAACUCGCUGCAGUCAACUCGCUGCCGGUCAAUUGGACACGGCCAACUGGCUGCAGGGACAACCCGCUGCAGGGAACAAUGCAACUCUACCCCGCAAGCCCGUCCUGUCACUUUGGCUUUUGAUCCGGAGGGGACAAGCGGGAGGGAGGUGAGAAGAAGCCAGCCCUCCCCCCCAAAAGAAAGCUUGAAAAAUCUUUUACACACAAUGGAGUUUUCUCAAGCUGCAGGCAGGAACCCUGCAGCAGCACUGUCUGCGCCGGAUCGAAAGCCAAAGUGACAGGACAGGCAUGCGGAGGGGGCGGGCAGGAGGAAGAUGUGUUGUUUGCCGAGCGGAAGCUGAAGGGAUGGCUCUCUGGGCGAUCCUCCUGCUUUGGACAGAGAGCCUCCCAGUCCUCCUCCUGCCCACCUGCCCCUUGGUUUUGUCAGGAGGAACUCCGUUUUGCAGGAGAGCUUUUUCAGUGAGGCUGGCAAGUUGCCUCCAGAAAAGGACCGUUUGACUCAAAAUGGGUAGAGCCCACAUAACUGCUCUCCUAGCCCACCUCCCCCCCCACCCUAUCCCAGUGAGCCACGGAGCAAAACAGCAGCUGCUGUGGGGAGUGAGUUGAUGCUGUUCUACUAAAUGACGUUAUCACACCUCUUUCACUGCAGUACUACAAUGUCAUAUUUAGACAGCAGAAUCAAAAUCUGAGAAGAAUCACAAAUGUUUUUUUAUUUUUUACAAUUGCAUUUUUGUCACCUCUCCAGAGGUGAUAAAUAGUUCAGAUUGAUGACAAAUAUGAAAAAGAGGCUAUUUUGAUCCAAUAUGGUGUUCUGGUCAUAAUACUGCUCCAGAGUCAGUAACAGUUAUACUGUGGACUUGCAGACAUCUAGAAGCCCGAGCAUGUAUACACUUAUCCAAGCUCUGGAAGUUGUACAGGGCUGGGCCCAGAAACAGAGUGGGGAAAUUGAUCCACCCCAGACAUUUCAAUUCUCAUGAGGCACAACCCCACAUUUAGGAAUGCAGAGAGACAGUCUAACACCACACCAAAUACAAGCAAGUUUUGACAACUGCAUGUUUAUUUUGAAACCCCACAGUAUCCAACAAGAGGCUGUGUUCUAUAUGGGGAGGAUGCUAGGAGAUAUGCCAAUUUUCAACAUGCGAAUAAUGCGGCCCAGAUUAGAUAAGUGAUAUGAGGAGGAUUCUAGGAGAUAUGCCAGUUUUCAACAUGCAUAUAAUGCAGCCCAGACUACAGCCCAGUCUCUUGUUCAUGCAAAAAUAAAUUAAUAGAUAAAAGCCUAACAGUCUGUGCAGUCCUGCAGAGUGAAUGAUUGGCAUGGCAACUUGAUAUCUUCUCUGCCAUGUAAGCAGUUUUAUGCUGGGCCAUAGGGUGCAGAGAGUUGUACUUUCCUGCAGAGAAUUAAAAAAACAACUAUACAACAUGCACACACACCUUGGCCAAGAAAUCUCCUAAGAGUUUUACUAAACAAUUCAAAAUUCAACCACACACCAGAUCCCCCAAGUGUUCUGUUACUAUCCCUGGGAUACAUGUGAGGUAGUCUGUUUUAAUAAGAGAACUCAGCAGCAAGGUCUGCUGCUGCUUUGGGGAGACCCGUAAAGGGGCAAUAUGAGGAUCAAAAUGGCAGCUCGCCUGCUCUAAAGCUCUGGUGCAGGCUUUGCACCUGACAUUUCACUUCUCAUGAGGCACAACACUACAGGUAGGAAUGCAGAGAGAUUCUUCCUUCCACUGCAGAAUGUGAAAGACAUGCUUUGGUGGGUGGUAGGUGGAAAUUUAGCUUCCUCUCACCUCCCUCCCGCUUGUCCCCUCCGAAUCGAAAGCCAAAGUGACAAGACGGGCUUGCGGGGGGAAGUUGCGUUGUUCUCUGCGGCGAGUUGGCCACGUCCAAUUGACCGGAGGUGAGUUGGCCACGGCGAGUUGUUGAGUUGUCAUAGACUCGAGGGGCGAGGGGCCCAUUAGAGAGGCCUGCCCGAGAAGGUUAUUGGAUCCAAUAGGGUUCCAAGAAGCCUUGGAGGGAUUUAGUGUUGGCUCUGCUGGUGAUCCUGUUGAUGCCCUGGUGAAGAAUUGGAACAGCUAACUCACCAGGGCAGUAGACAUGAUCGUUCCUAAGCAUCCUCUUUGACCCGCUUCAAAAUUGGCCCCUUGAAAAGAGAAACUACGGGGACUGGAGCGCAAGUGGAGGAAGACUCGACUUGAAUCCAACAGAUUACAACACAGAGCACAUUUGAAGAUCUGUGCUUUGGCAAUACGGGCGUCAAAGAAGCUAUUCUUUUCAGCACGUAUUGCGUCCGCAAGUUCAUGUCCAGUGGAGUUGUUCAGGGUUGUGAGAGGGCUAGUGAGUGCCCCUCCUUUCUUGAAUCAGAAUUAGGAACCAUCUAUUACCCGCUGUGACGUGUUUAUUGAUCUGUGUGUCGAUAAAAUCUCUCGUAUAUGGGCCAACUUGGAUUUAGACCCCACAAUUACUGCAGUGUCAGAAUCGGAGGUGUCCAGAGACUCCUCUUAUGUGGUUAGGCUGGAUCAGUUUCAGUUUGUGAAUCGUGAGGAUGUGGACAAGCUGCUUGGAGCGAUGCGGCCUACCACCUGUUCUCUUGACCCUUGCCCAACAUGGCUAAUACUAUCUGGCAGGGAGGUUGUUGUAGAAGGCCUAGUAGAGAUCAUAAAUGCUUGUCUGAGGGAGGGCAGGAUGCCUCCUUGCCUCAAGGAGGCAAUUAUUAGACCACUUCUGAAGAAGCCUGCCCUGGAUUCCUCAGAGUUGAGCAACUAUAGGCCUCUCUCCAACCUUCCGUGGUUGGGCAAAGUAAUUGAGAGGGUGGUGGUCUCCCAACUCCAGGCAGCAUUGGAUGAAACUAAUUAUCUAGACCCGUUGCAGACCGGCUUUCAGGUGGGCUAUGGGGUGGAGACUGCCUUGGUCGGCCUGAUGGCUUUUCUCCAAUUGGGAAUUGAGAGAGGAAGUGUGACUCUGUUGGUCCUUUUGGAUCUCUUGGUGGCUUUCGAUACUAUUGACCACAGUAUCCUUCUAGAGCAGGCCUGCACAACAUAAGGCCCGGGGGCCGGAUUCGGCCCACAGAGACUAUUUUACUGCCCCCCAGGUAUCCUGAAGCAACACAGCAGCUGGAAACUGCCUUAUAGCACCAUCCUGUGCGUGCAUUCUCAGAAAUAUGCUCCAUGCUGCUCCCAGUGAGGCUUACUCCCAUGUAAGCAUACCUAGCAUUGCAGUCCGAAAGCAACAAUUUAGGGAGAGGAGAGGACUUGACAUUUGUAUGGGGCAGGCCUGCACUCCAGGGUCCCACUGAUUGAGCGGGGACAGGACCUAUUCUCUGGCCACUAUCCUUCGUUAAAACUAUGGGUCCAUUGACAGGGGGAAUAGAGCAACAAGUAACUAAUAAUAUUUAAUUUUAAUGUAAUAAUAUGCUAAACAUUUGACCGCGGCCCCUGCGUGCCAAGUUGUGGAUAGUUCUGGCCCACCAGGGCAUUUGAGUUGUGCAGCCCUGUUCUAUAGUGUCUGAGGGGGUUGAGGAUGUGAGGCACUGCUUUUCAGGGGUUCCACUCUUAUCUCUCAGGCAGAUUCCAGAUGGUAUAACUCAGGGACUGUUGUUCUUCAAAAACUGAACUUUGGUACAGUGUUCCUCAGGUCUCCGUAUUGUCUCUAAUGUUGUUUAACAUCUAGAUGAAACCGCUGGGAGAGAUCAUCAGGAGAUUUGGUGCAGGUGUAUGCUAAUGACACCCAAAUCUUUUUCUCCAUGUCAACAUCAUCGGGAGAAGGCAUAACCUCCCUAAAUGCCUGCCUGGAGGCAGUGAUGGGCUGGAUGAGAGAUGCUGGAUAUAGAGAAGGCCCCAGACAAUGUAAAGGCACCUAGAAGAACAGGCCCUGCUGGGAGUGAGUCAGCAUGGCUUCCGCAAAGAAAGCAGAAUAUGAAAGGAGGCAACAAAACAUCACAGCACAACGAUUCAGCACAAGUGAUGAAGUUAACUUAAAACUACUACAGGAUUUCUUCAAAUUGAAUGGGAAAGCGAUUACAAUCUUAACACUCCCAACAGUGAUGAUACUAACUGCAAAAAUUGAUUUAGGACUACUAGGUUUCCAAUUCCAGGAAAAAAAACUUCUGUAUUGCUAUGUUGCCUUGGAAAUUCCACAGUCACAGAAAGGAAACAACAAGCUGUCCUUUCCCUAAUUACAUUUUGUUAGGUCAAUGUUAUUAUUUUACUGAAGUAACAAAUUGUACAAAGUAGUAAAAGUAGUUACCAAUAUUGUCUUCCCCUAUUUUUGUAUUUACAAUAAACAAAUCAUAUUAUAGCAGACCAAGCAAUGAAGCACAAAUACAACAACCAACUACUGCUAACUGGGCAAAAAGGCACCUUUUAAAGUGCGCAUCUCUUCAAAGGUCUCUAAAGCAACUGCGCCCAUUCAACAGCCUCCAGUGGUUGUUUCUCAUUUCUGCCUUAUGUUUCUUUUUAGACUGUGUGACAGGGAACCAUCUUAUUUAUUAUUAUUAUCAAUUUUCAUCAUCUUUAUGUAAACUGCCCCAAGAAUGCUUUUGUGGGAGAAAAUAUAUAUCUAUAUCUAUA
Long non-coding RNA from Hemicordylus capensis (graceful crag lizard), 5728 nucleotides. RefSeq lists it as uncharacterized. The record is from RefSeq and is a predicted model, not a curated record. Lineage: Eukaryota; Metazoa; Chordata; Lepidosauria; Squamata; Cordylidae. The transcript has 3 exons.